AGUGAACGCUGGCGGUAGGCCUAACACAUGCAAGUCGAACGGCAGCACAGUAAGAGCUUGCUCUUACGGGUGGCGAGUGGCGGACGGGUGAGGAAUACAUCGGAAUCUACUUUUUCGUGGGGGAUAACGUAGGGAGACUUACGCUAAUACCGCAUACGACCUACGGGUGAAAGCAGGGGAUCUUCGGACCUUGCGCGAUUGAAUGAGCCGAUGUCGGAUUAGCUAGUUGGCGGGGUAAAGGCCCACCAAGGCGACGAUCCGUAGCUGGUCUGAGAGGAUGAUAAGCCACACUGGAACUGAGACACGGUCCAGACUCCUACGGGAGGCAGCAGUGGGGAAUAUUGGACAAUGGGCGCAAGCCUGAUCCAGCCAUACCGCGUGGGUGAAGAAGGCCUUCGGGUUGUAAAGCCCUUUUGUUGGGAAAGAAAAGCAGCAGGUUAAUACCCCGCUGUUCUGACGGUACCCAAAGAAUAAGCACCGGCUAACUUCGUG
Molecule: ribosomal RNA, 492 nt
Filed under: uncultured bacterium
Lineage: Bacteria
Description: partial 16S ribosomal RNA
Rfam family: Bacterial small subunit ribosomal RNA
Source: RNAcentral